This is an unclassified non-coding RNA of Microcebus murinus (gray mouse lemur), 300 nucleotides long. It matches the Rfam family "Metazoan signal recognition particle RNA". From Rfam's summary of the family: The signal recognition particle (SRP) is a universally conserved ribonucleoprotein. It is involved in the co-translational targeting of proteins to membranes. Lineage: Eukaryota; Metazoa; Chordata; Mammalia; Primates; Cheirogaleidae. The record is from Ensembl.
GCCGGACGCAGUGGCGCGCGCCUGUAGUCCCAGCUACUCGGGAGGCUGAGAUGGGAGGAUCGCUUGAGCCCAGGAGUUCUGGGCUGUAGUGCGCUAUGCCGAUCGGGUGUCCGCACUAAGUUCGGCAUCAAUACGGUGACCUCCCGGGAGCGGGGGACCACCAGGUUGCCUAAGGAGGGGUGAACCGGCCCAGGUCGGAAACGGAGCAGGUCAAAACUCCCGUCCUGAUCAGUAGUGGGAUCGCGCCUGUGAAUAGCCACUGCACUCCAGCCUGGGCAACAUAGCAAGACCCCGUCUCUU